GCCAGCAUGGCCUAGUGGUUUGAGUGUCGGACUAGGAUUCUGGAGACCAGGGUUCGAAUCCCAGCUUGGCC
This 71-nucleotide transfer RNA is filed under the name Phrynosoma platyrhinos (Desert horned lizard). RNAcentral's name for it is "tRNA-OTHER". The record is from RNAcentral. Lineage: Eukaryota; Metazoa; Chordata; Lepidosauria; Squamata; Phrynosomatidae.